UCUCCCUCCAUGUUAACUUUUCCUUCUUUUCUUCUUCCUUUCUUAGUGUUUUGGUCUUUUUUUUUUCUUUGAUUUUCUUUGUUCUUUUAGUUUUUUGUGUUUUUUCUUGAAAUAAUCUUCAGAUCUUGUGUUUUUUAUGUGAUUUCUUAUAUAGGUGUCGUUAGAUCUAUCGGUUUUCUACCUCAUUUUGAAGAUUUAUGUCUUCUCCAUCUAGGGUGGAGAUUUUGUUUUUGUUGGAUCUAUGUUUAGUGUGCAAAGCUUAUUCGUAGAAGGUGAUUUUCUUAAAUUGGAGCCCUGUAGCUAGUCAGCCUGUUCCUUCAAUGGAAUCUGUGGUUCUUGCCUUUGCGUUUGUUCAUUCGCAACUCGUCCUUGGAAUUUUGAACCACUUUAAAUAUCUGCUUGUUUAUUUG
Molecule: unclassified non-coding RNA, 410 nt
Filed under: Hevea brasiliensis (rubber tree)
Lineage: Eukaryota; Viridiplantae; Streptophyta; Magnoliopsida; Malpighiales; Euphorbiaceae
Source: RNAcentral